Molecule: transfer RNA, 74 nt
Filed under: Thermoplasmata archaeon
Lineage: Archaea; Methanobacteriati; Thermoplasmatota; Thermoplasmata
Description: tRNA-Arg
Rfam family: tRNA
About the family: Transfer RNA (tRNA) molecules are approximately 80 nucleotides in length.
Source: RNAcentral
GGGUCCGUGGUGUAGUUGGGAUAGCAUAGAGGCUUCCGGAGCCUCAGGCCUGGGUUCAACUCCCGGCGGGCCCG